UGGGGAAUAUUGGGCAAUGGGGGAAACCCUGACCCAGCAACGCCGCGUGAGGGAAGAAGGUUUUCGGAUUGUAAACCUCUGUUCUUGGUGAAGAGAAGAAGACGGUAGCCAAGGAGGAAGCCCCGGCUAACUGCGUGCCAGCAGCCGCGGUAAUACGUAGGGGGCGAGCGUUGUCCGGAAUGAUUGGGCGUAAAGGGCGCGUAGGCGGCUGUUCAAGUCCGUAGUGGAAGUCCAUUUUUCAAGGGUGGAAGUGCUAUGGAAACUGAGCAGCUUGAGUGCAGGAGAGGUUAUCGGAAUUCCCGGUGUAGCGGUGAAAUGCGUAGAGAUCGGGAGGAACACCAGUGGCGAAGGCGGGUAACUGGACUGCAACUGACGCUGAGGCGCGAAAGUGUGGGGAGCAAACAG
This 405-nucleotide ribosomal RNA is filed under the name uncultured bacterium. RNAcentral describes it as "bacterial SSU rRNA". It matches the Rfam family "Bacterial small subunit ribosomal RNA", at positions 355 to 775 of the family's 1533-position model. The record is from RNAcentral.